GUGCCAGCAGCCGCGGUAAUACGUAGGACCCGAGCGUUGUCCGGAUUUACUGGGUAUAAAGGGUGCGUAGGCGGUCUUGUGCGUCAGAGGUGAAAUCUCCGGGCUUAACCCGGAGGGUGCCUUUGAAACGGCAGGACUUGAGUGCGGGAGAGGGUGAUGGAAUUCCUGGUGUAGCGGUGAAAUGCGUAGAUAUCAGGAGGAACACCGGUGGCGAAGGCGGUCACCUGGCCCGUAACUGACGCUGAGGCACGAAAGCGUGGGGAUCAAACAGGAUUAGAAACCCCCGUAGUCC
This 292-nucleotide ribosomal RNA is filed under the name uncultured bacterium. Its description in RNAcentral is "partial 16S ribosomal RNA". It matches the Rfam family "Bacterial small subunit ribosomal RNA", at positions 505 to 796 of the family's 1533-position model. The record is from RNAcentral.